This 498-nucleotide ribosomal RNA is filed under the name uncultured bacterium. RNAcentral describes it as "partial 16S ribosomal RNA". It matches the Rfam family "Bacterial small subunit ribosomal RNA", at positions 29 to 523 of the family's 1533-position model. The record is from RNAcentral.
AUUGAACGCUGGCGGCAUGCCUUACACAUGCAAGUCGAACGGUAACGCGGGGCAACCUGGCGACGAGUGGCGAACGGGUGAGUAACGCAUCGGAACGUGCCCAGUAGUGGGGGAUAGCCCGGCGAAAGCCGGAUUAAUACCGCAUACGACCUACGGGGGAAAGGGGGGGAACGCAAGACCUCUCGACACUGGAGGGGCCGAUGUCAGAUUAGGUAGUUGGUGGGGUAAAGGCCUACCAAGCCGACGAUCUGUAGCUGGUCUGAGAGGACGACCAGCCACACUGGGACUGAGACACGGUCCAGACUCCUACGGGAGGCAGCAGUGGGGAAUUUUGGACAAUGGGCGAAAGCCUGAUCCAGCCAUGCCGCGUGCGGGAAGAAGGCCUUCGGGUUGUAAACCGCUUUUGUCAGGGAAGAAAUCUUCUGGGUUAAUACCUCGGGAGGAUGACGGUACCUGAAGAAUAAGCACCGGCUAACUACGUGCCAGCAGCCGCCGUAA